Ornithodoros turicata is the source of this 469-nucleotide long non-coding RNA. RefSeq lists it as uncharacterized. Lineage: Eukaryota; Metazoa; Arthropoda; Arachnida; Ixodida; Argasidae. The record is from RefSeq and is a predicted model, not a curated record. The transcript has 3 exons.
UGCGCCUCUCUAGUGGAAGAUAAAACCGGUGUGUAGCCUUGCACUGAGGCACAGUCGCACAUACCUGAUGUCCCCCAGCAAUAAGCCCAGCUGAAAGCCAGCGCCUGUACUGCUGUUGUCUCUCCCUCGUGUCUCGCCCUACCCACGCUUAGAUCUAGUCGAGGAAGACGCACGACACGUUCUCAAUAUUUCACGCUGUACGAGCACGGCUGCACCCUAGAAUUUUUACCGCUGACAUUCCUGAGUGAUUGUACUUUGCUUGUGGUCAAAUACAGCAAGGCUCGCGUUCCAGGGGGACGACAAGGAUGCGAUUGCCACGCCGUUUAUCGGAGGAUUAGCGAAACACCGAAGAGGGACAUGACUGUGGACUGUAGAAAGUCAACGUUUUGUGAGGCAAGAAAGCCAGACAAGGAUAUGCAGCACAGCAUUGGCACGUCAUCUCUACACUCUUAAUAAAAAGGGUGCACUU